AAAGCCAGAAGUCUGUAUGACCAUGAACAUCAAGUGACUCGUGAAAAAUGCCAUCGCCAUGAUUAGAGCUCUGCCAUCUAUAUCUUUCCUUCACUUUCUCUACCCCCAAAAAAGCUGGGAAACAAAACAUGAGGCAUUAGUUCAUGGCCUUAAGACCUCCAAGAAUCCUGAUGCCUUUCUACAGCAAAGACUGACCACUGUCAAGCGCUGCCCUUAUUGUGGACCAAGAUAACUGCAUGCUAGCUAUUGGCAGUGACCAUUUGACAACUUACCUUCCUGCAACAUUUCUUGAGGGUAUCCUAUAGCAUACUAUUCUGCACUACAUCUAACAUGUCCUAAGUGCAUUGCCGCUGUCCUCUCUGCAGUUCAAACUAAAAUAUUACUGGGCACAAUUUGAAGGGAAAAUACAAAUACUGUAUGCUAGAAGAAAAACUGUGUGAGCCAA
Polypterus senegalus (gray bichir) is the source of this 445-nucleotide long non-coding RNA. RefSeq lists it as uncharacterized. The transcript is spliced from 3 exons. NCBI's taxonomy places the organism in Eukaryota, Metazoa, Chordata, Cladistia, Polypteriformes, Polypteridae. The record is from RefSeq and is a predicted model, not a curated record.